Molecule: unclassified non-coding RNA, 420 nt
Filed under: fungal sp.
Lineage: Eukaryota; Fungi
Description: partial internal transcribed spacer region
Rfam family: Eukaryotic small subunit ribosomal RNA (bases 1-46)
Source: RNAcentral
AAGUCGUAACAAGGUAACCGUAGGUGAACCUGCGGUUGGAUCAUUAGAGUAUAAACAAUAAAGGGGAAAAAUAACGCAGCAAGCAUGUCAAAGUGUUUAUUGCCCAUUUUCCCCCUUUGUUUAAACCCCAACUACCCGGUAACCGUUUCCUGUAUUUUGGUUUGUUGCUUUUAGAGUCUUAAUUAUAAAGGGGGAGGCAAGAAGGCGGGGGAAGAGGCCCUUUUCGUUAAGGGCAUUUUCCCCCCCCUAAAAGUUUUCCCUGGGGCUCGCCAAACAGCAAACCAGCCCAUGUUUUUAUAUACGUUUGUUUCUUUGUCCAACCUUUAUGUCGGUAAAAGCCAGUUUCUUCUUUUUUGAGGCAACUAGCUUUUUAUAUAUAUAUAAUGAGAACAACUUUUGACAAUGGAUCUCUUGGCUCUC